Molecule: ribosomal RNA, 440 nt
Filed under: uncultured bacterium
Lineage: Bacteria
Description: partial 16S ribosomal RNA
Rfam family: Bacterial small subunit ribosomal RNA
Source: RNAcentral
CCUACGGGUGGCAGCAGUGGGGGAGAGUGCACAAUGGGGGAAACCCUGAUGCAGCGACGCCGCGUGAGUGAAGAAGUAUUUCGGUAUGUAAAGCUCUAUCAGCAGGGAAGAAAAUGACAGUACCUGACCAAGAAGCCCCGGCUAACGACGUGCCAGCAGCCGCGGUAAGACGUAGGGGGCAAUCGUGAUCCGGAUUUACUGGGUGGAAAGGGAGCGUAGACGGUUAUGUAAGUCUGGAGUGAAAGCCCGGGGCCCAACCCCGGGACUGCUUUGGAAACUGGGUAACUGGUGUACAGGAGGGGCAGUCGGAAUUCCUGUUGUCGCGGUUACAUGCGUAGAUAUCAGGAGGAACACCGGCGGCGAAGGCGGCCUGCUGGACUGAACCUGACGUUGAGGCUCGAACGCGUGGGGAGCAAACAGGAUUAGCUACCCUUGUAGUC